AACGUAGGAGCCUAGCGUUAUCCGAAUUCACUGGGCGUAAAGCGCGUGCAGGCGGUUCGGUAAGUUGGAUGUGAAAUCUCCUGGCUCAACUGGGAGAGGACGUUCAAGACUGUCGGACUAGAGGACGGUAGAGGAAGGUAGAAUUCCCGGUGUAGUGGUGAAAUGCGUAGAUAUCGUAAGGAAGACCAGUGGCGAAGGCGGGUCUCUGGACAGUUCCUGACGCUGAGGCACGAAGGUCAGGGGAGCAAACGGG
Molecule: ribosomal RNA, 253 nt
Filed under: uncultured bacterium
Lineage: Bacteria
Description: partial 16S ribosomal RNA
Rfam family: Bacterial small subunit ribosomal RNA
Source: RNAcentral